Molecule: ribosomal RNA, 275 nt
Filed under: uncultured bacterium
Lineage: Bacteria
Description: partial 16S ribosomal RNA
Rfam family: Bacterial small subunit ribosomal RNA
Source: RNAcentral
AUACGGAGGGGGCAAGCGUUAUUCGGAAUUAUUGGGCGUAAAGCGCGCGUAGGCGGCUUGGUAAGUCGGAUGUGAAAGCCCGAGGCUCAACCUCGAAACGCCACUCGAUACUGCCAUGGCUUGAGUCCGGUAGAGGAGUGCGGAAUUCCUGGUGUAGCGGUGAAAUGCGCAGAUAUCAGGAGGAACACCUGCGGCGAAGGCGGCACUCUGGGCCGGUACUGACGCUGAGGAGCGAAAGCGUGGGGAUCAAACAGGAUUAGAAACCCCAGUAGUCC